This 530-nucleotide long non-coding RNA is filed under the name Coffea arabica (coffee). RNAcentral describes it as "long non-coding RNA (CARA_LNC002380)". Lineage: Eukaryota; Viridiplantae; Streptophyta; Magnoliopsida; Gentianales; Rubiaceae. The record is from RNAcentral.
GCCGCCGCCCUCCAUCUCCAACACUACCCAUUUCCAACAUACAAUACAACCGACCAAUCCAGUAGUAUCAAGCAGCAGCAGCAGCAGCAGCAGAAGCAGGUUCGUCUUUAAUUAAAAUCUCAAUGCGGUACAGAUUUCCUGAUAAUUGCCAAUUAAGUUGAUGAUUGCUUAUUCCUAAUAUCAGUUGUUGAUUUGGCUGACAAUUUCUCCUUCUUGCAGUACUCUAAAACGAAUCUCCUCUGAUAUUGAGAGGAGCCCAGGAAUUGAGCAGCAGAUGCAAUAGAACAAGAGGAGGAAAUGAUAAAAUGGAUCGUCAAUAUCUGUUAUCUCUCUCUCUCUCUCUCUCCCCCUCCCCAACAAAUGCCAAAUUUGAAGAUGAGUUUGAUAAUAAUAAUGUAUGGGAUAAGCUAUAUUUAUUCGGGGAUAGGGAAUUGUUGGUAUCGGAGAAAGAAAGAAAGAAUGAGGAGAGGAAGAAUGUGAUCAUAAGGGGAUGGAGGAAGGAGGAAAGUUUAAGGCAAGUUAUUUGAAGA